RNAcentral lists this long non-coding RNA (441 nucleotides) under Mus pahari (shrew mouse). RNAcentral describes it as "lncRNA (MGP_PahariEiJ_G0012108.1)". Lineage: Eukaryota; Metazoa; Chordata; Mammalia; Rodentia; Muridae. The record is from RNAcentral.
UCCGGGAGAGCGGAUCUGAGCCGCCGCUAAGGACGGAGACGCGCCUCAAGCUGUCACUUGCUGCCCGGAGUUCGUUCGGAAAGUUGAAAAAGCCUAGUCCUGGUUAGGAAAUCUAUCCAGCUGUGUAUAUACUUUUUGCUUUUAGGGUCUGAAGCUCAGGAAGGAUAAGAAAAACAAAAUCGCACAGCUGGCAAGUGGCAGAGCAGGACACAAUUAUUUUAUAACUCCAGAACAAGAAUUUGCAGUUGUUGCGCCAGAUGCCCUGUAGCAGGGCUGCCACCAAGAGGGUGGAAGAACACCUUUAAUUCCAGCACUCAGGAAACAGAAACAGGGUUGAGCCCAGAAAACCAUGCAAACACUUGCUCACACACAAACCCACAGUUCUCAUCUUAAAAGGAGCAAGAGAUGGUUUAUUCUGGAGCCAUCUUGAGUAAUAAUGAC